AACGAACGCUGGCGGCAGGCUUAACACAUGCAAGUCGAGCGCGUAGCAAUACGAGCGGCAGACGGGUGAGUAACGCGUGGGAACGUACCCUUUUCUACGGAAUAACCCAGGGAAACUUGGACUAAUACCGUAUACGCCCUUCGGGGGAAAGAUUUAUCGGAGAAGGAUCGCCCCGCGUUGGAUUAGCUAGUUGGUGGGGUAAAGGCCUACCAAGGCGACGAUGCAUAGCUGGUCUGAGAGGAUGAACAGCCACAUUGGGACAGGGACACGGCCCAAACUCCUACGGGAGGCAGCAGUGGGGAAUAUUGGACAAUGGGCGCAAGCCUGAUCCGGCCAUGCCGCGUGAGUGAUGAAGGCCUUAGGGUUGUAAAGCUCUUUCACCGGGGAAGAUAAUGACGGUACCCGGAGAAGAAGCCCCGGCUAACUUCGUGCCAGCCGCCGCGGUAA
RNAcentral lists this ribosomal RNA (447 nucleotides) under uncultured bacterium. RNAcentral describes it as "partial 16S ribosomal RNA". It matches the Rfam family "Bacterial small subunit ribosomal RNA", at positions 29 to 523 of the family's 1533-position model. The record is from RNAcentral.